AUUGAACGCUGGCGGCAGGCCUAACACAUGCAAGUCGAAUGGUAACAGGAAACAGCUUGCUGUUUCGCUGACGAGUGGCGGACGGGUGAGUAAUGUCUGGGAAACUGCCUGAUGGAGGGGGAUAACUACUGGAAACGGUAGCUAAUACCGCAUAACGUCGCAAGCCCAAAGAGGGGGACCUUCGGGCCUCUUGCCAUCAGAUUUGCCCAGAUGGGAUUAGCUAGUAGGUGGGGUAACGGCUCACCUAGGCGACGAUCCCUAGCUGGUCUGAGAGGAUGACCAGCCACACUGGAACUGAGACACGGUCCAGACUCCUACGGGAGGCAGCAGUGGGGAAUAUUGCACAAUGGGCGCAAGCCUGAUGCAGCCAUGCCGCGUGUAUGAAGAAGGCCUUCGGGUUGUAAAGUACUUUCAGCGGGGAGGAAGGGAGUAAAGUUAAUACCUUUGCUCAUUGACGUUACCCGCAGAAGAAGCACCGGCUAACUCCGUG
Molecule: ribosomal RNA, 490 nt
Filed under: uncultured bacterium
Lineage: Bacteria
Description: partial 16S ribosomal RNA
Rfam family: Bacterial small subunit ribosomal RNA
Source: RNAcentral